GGGGUAAAGACAUGAUAGACAGAAAAACAUUCAGGUUAUGUUAAAAAGCAAAAAAUAAGAUCAAAAUGUUUCUACAUCAAACUAAAACUAACACAUACAGUAACUAACUGAAAGUAUAACUAGGAUAAAAACUAACUGAAACUAACUAACUGUUAGCAUGAAGCUAACCAAACUAAAACUAGCCUGAAACUAGAACUAAAAGUAAAGUAAAUGACACAAAAACUAUCAGGUAUCUGGUAUGAAACUAACUAGGACUAAAAUAAAACCACCAUAAACUAACUGAAACCAGGACUAAACUAGCAUGAAGGAACUGGACCCAAACCUAGCAUUAAACUAAUAAAAAUGUAAACUAGCAUGAAGGUAACAGAAAGUAAAACUAGCAAGAAGCUAAUUAAAACUAAACCUAGCAUGAAACUAAAAUUAACAUUAACCCCAAAGACAUGGCUGAAAGAAUAAAUAGGAUAAAACAAACUGAAACAAACUAGCAUGAGGCUAACCAAACUAAAAAUAGCAAGAAACCAACUAAAACUAAACCUAGCAUUAAAGUAAAACUAGCAUAAAGCCAACUACGACUAAACCCGAGCAUGAAACUACAACCAGCAUGAAGGAAUGUUCCCGUUUUUUCGGAGAUUGAAGAGCUGAUCACCUUUCCGGUCCAGGAGGGAGCAAAGGGUUUGUUUACAGAAGCCUUUGAAGUUUUAUUUCCCCCCGCCGCCGCCACCUCCCCCCUGUUGGCUCUCUGCAUUCCCUGACAACGUGAUGCAGGUAGAAGAUGAGCAGUCGCAGCACCACAGAGGAGACUGCCGCGCAGGUGAAGUCAAAAAAUAUUCAUUUCAAAUUGGAUUUUCCCCUCCGUUCACUAUCUGCUGAAUUGUAUUAAUACACGGGGCUCAAAGCGGCGUGCAUUCAGGGAGGGGCCGGCGGCCGUGCGCCGGAAAAACUAUUGAGAGAGUUAGAGAGGAACCGAGCGUAUAUCAAAUCAAUUCCA
Long non-coding RNA from Siniperca chuatsi (mandarin fish), 988 nucleotides. RefSeq lists it as uncharacterized. The record is from RefSeq and is a predicted model, not a curated record. Lineage: Eukaryota; Metazoa; Chordata; Actinopteri; Centrarchiformes; Sinipercidae. The transcript has 3 exons.